Molecule: unclassified non-coding RNA, 734 nt
Filed under: Hevea brasiliensis (rubber tree)
Lineage: Eukaryota; Viridiplantae; Streptophyta; Magnoliopsida; Malpighiales; Euphorbiaceae
Source: RNAcentral
AAAAGUGUAAAAAUCAAAGCUUUAAUGGAAUCAGGAAUGGACUCAAGUACAAAACCUUUUUCUGUUCUCUUUGUGUGUCUUGGAAACAUAUGCAGAAGUCCAGCUGCUGAAGGUGUUUUUACAGAUUUGGUUAAGAAAAGGGGGCUUGAUUCAAAGUUUAAGAUUGAUUCUGCUGGUACUAUUAAUUAUCAUGAGGGAAAUGAAGCUGAUCCAAGAAUGAGGGCUGCUGCUAAAAGGCGUGGAAUUGCGAUAACGUCUAUAUCUAGGCCAAUUAGGGCUUCUGAUUUCAAAGAUUUUGAUCUCAUUCUUGCUAUGGAUGAGCAAAACAAAUCUGAUAUUCUUGGGGCUCUGGAGAGGUGGAUCCAUAGAGAGCCAUUGCCAGCUGAUGCAGCGGAAAAGGUCCGCUUGAUGUGUUCCUACUGUAAGAAGCAUCAGGAAACUGAAGUUCCAGACCCUUACUAUGGUGGAGCUCAAGGUUUUGAGAAGGUACUAGAUAUGCUUGAAGAUGCUUGUGAUUCACUGUUGGAAAGCAUUGUGACAGAACAAAAUUUAGGUUCAUAGAUGUACUUUAAUCACCAGUAUUCUUACUGCCAAUAAGGCAAUUGGUUAUUCAAAGCAUAUACCAUGUACUCUACUGCUCAUUGUUUGAACUACCGCGACUUGUAUAGCCGGUCUGGUUCUAGCCCAUGGUAUGCACUGAUGUGUUUAUUGUUUACCUGGCAAGUUAAGCAAAG